Oreochromis aureus is the source of this 3464-nucleotide long non-coding RNA. The record is from Ensembl. NCBI's taxonomy places the organism in Eukaryota, Metazoa, Chordata, Actinopteri, Cichliformes, Cichlidae.
AAGCACCAUGGAUGACGAAUUUCAAGGUACCAGCUCUCAGUCUGUGAGCUUAUCUGAAGAUGAUGGGACAGAUGACUGGAUACCCACACAGGAUGAAUCUGAAGGCUAUUCAGAAGAGGAGGAAGAACAAGAACAUAAAAGGAUUCCUAAGAUGCUGGCAGCAUCUGAAGAGGAUGGGACACAUGAUAGUAGACCCACACAGGAUGAAUCUAAAGAUGAUUCAAAAGAUGAAGCAGAACAUUUGGGACAAAUGAUUCACAAAGUGGCCAUGGAAAAGGGGGCGUUUGUGAGCAGUGAGUUGCCGCAGAGGACAGAGGAACAGCAACAGGUUGCUGGCAUCUCUAAGACUCAAAGGCAUCACAAUGUCAGAAAUAGACACAAGUGUCCCAUAUGUGGACAUGUAUAUGCUGAUAUUGUUCAGCACCUAAGAGUCACAGAGAAAGUGGUAAAUGAAAUUGAGCUGCUUCUUUUGAGCCAAUUUUCUCAUCGGCACUUUUCUGCAAAUCUGGACUGUCCAGUCCGCUUAUGUCAGUCAAAACAUCUUAAUCGGCUUGAUAAGCACCUGGAAAAGGUCCACAAAUUACAGAAACCUAUGAUUAAACUUUACAUGCAAAAGGCCAAGGACAGAUGCGUUGCUAAGGAACUUGCACUUCUGAGGGCAUCAAAUCCCACACUGCAAAUGGUCUCACAUGUGGGUGAAGUGGAUUAUACAGUGAUUGAGGAGGGCAUCUUUAGGGCACUGGAGGCAAGGUCCAAGGUUGCAUCCCCUAUAGCCUCUUCCAGCAACGCUCCCAGUGACCAUGCUACCCUGAACCAUUGGCCUGCUCCUCCCUCUGACAGCAAGGCUCUGGGUGACUCUACCAGACCAAACCUACAGCCUCCUCUCUCUACCCGUGACCCUCUCAGUGACCACACCAUCCCAAUUAUGCAGCCUCCUUCUAUCUCCACCAGCAAGAUUACUUGUGAUUCAACAGUGGUGUCCCCUGAUUUGUUAAUCCCUUACUAUGCAGCAAAGCAAAGGAGGGAAUGUCUUCUCCCGAGGACACCUGCUCCUGGUUGCAAAAACUGUCAGAUACUGUUCACUGAGCUACAGGUGGUGAAGCAGUUGCUAGAGUGUGAAAUUGAAAGGAAUCAUGAGCUCAAGCAGAUACAUUCUUCAACCAAGCAUCCAAAUGUUAAAUAUAGCAGACGUAAACGGUUUUCACCCAGCAAAGCCCCUCACUAUGUAAGACUGGUGGAAGAAUUUAGGGCCCAUGCAGAAGGUGUGAACCCUAGCAUAGAACUACAUGAAAAUGCAAGGCAGCGAGCCACUCAUGUCAUCCGGUUUCUGGAAUUCAUGGCAGACCCAGCAAUUCCAAACGUUGACCUUCUGUUUCUGAGGAACCAUGGAAAAGUCCGUGAUUUUCUAGCACACCUGCAAGCAAAAGGGUUUAAACCAACAACUCAGAGAGCUUAUCUCAUGGAUGCUAUUGCUUUCAUGAAAUAUAUAUUAAACAUGUCACCACCACAAGUCAGACUUGGAAAUAAAAGGAUCAACGCCCUUUUGGUCGAACUGAGGGCACGUAACAGAGAUGUUGGCCGUGAAGUAGUCGUGCACCAGCUGAAUGUGCGGAGAUCUAAGUCUAAAAGACUUGUCAAAGCAGAAAAACAUGCUUUGUUCAUUGAAGAGGCUCCCCAGAAGAUUGCUGCCGCACUGGAUGACCUCGAGAAGCAACCCCAGAACAGAACAAUAUUGAAAUUGUUUUUUGGACUGUUGGGUGGAUACCUCAUUGCCAUAACUGGCCACCGAAAGGGAGUGGUCAUCAACAUGACUACUGAGGAGGUUGAAAUGGCAGAAAAAACUAAGCAGGGUGCCCGCAUCAUCCGUGUUAAACAGCACAAAACUCAAAGAUACCAUGGGGAAGCAGCUGUCCCCCUGUACAAGAAUGAGUAUACCUGGUUGCAGCGUUACAAUCAUAUUAGAGAGUAUAUUGAAGGGGGUUCGGAGGCAUCAACUUUUUUCCACAGUUCCAGUGGAGGUGUUCUUCAUAGACUACUGGAAUUUUUCAAGGCAGCCUGGGAGAUGAUGAAUCUGGGGAUUGCCCCCACCUUCAACAUGAUACGUUCCUCCUGUAGCACUUACGCCAAGCGACAGUUGGGACGUAAAUCUUAUGACAGAGUGGCAACGUUUAUGUGCCAUGAUGCCAUCACAGCCAAAAGAUUUUACCAAGCUGAGGACCCUGCAGAGGACACACUCCAGAGCCGAGCACUGACCACCCAUGCAAUUGCAACAUAUGCAGCAAAGAAAAGGAAAAGGACAGAGGACAGAGGAUCUGUGCAGGACAAGGACAGUGAAGGAUCUGACAAGGAAGAGCAGCAGUCAUCAGGAACAGAGGAGCUUUUAGACAGAAGGCUCUUCCAGUGUAACAGUAACAAGAUGGUCAUCUUUUACAAAAAUGAUAGGACAGGUGUGGGGAAACUCACACAAGAAGACAAUCCACAAGAGGAGGAGGAGGAUGAAGCGAGAGAAUGGGUUCCUAAGUCUGUUAGCUCAUCUGAAGAUGAUGGGACAGAUGACUGGACACCCACACAGGAUGAAUCUGAAGGCUAUUCAGAAGAGGAGGAAGAACAAGAACAUAAAAGGAUUCCUAAGAUGGCAGCAGCAUCUGAAGAGGAUGGGACACAUGAUAGCAGACCCACACAGGAUGAUUCAAAGGAUGAAGCAGAACAUUUGGGACAAAUGAUUCACAAAGUGUCCAUGGAAAAGGACAGGGAAACGGCGAUAAGCUUAUUACCAGUACAACACCAAAUUCCAGUUGUUACUCUGAAUUCAGUCACUCUCAAGACACCCAUGAAGGACAAGGUCGCACUGGAGGUCCCUCCUGGUAUGCAGCAGGCCUAUGUAAACCAAGACACAGCAAUGACUGUGAAUAAGAGUUCAGAAAAAAGUGUGAUUCACCAAACCAGUUACUUGAAGAGGCUCAUUUUUCAUCAGUCAACUCUCUUUGAAGACACCAUACCAAGAUCUGAUAACAACAAGAAAGACCAAAGUGGAAUGUCAUCUGCAGCAAUAAUAACCUCAGAACAACUGGAAGAGAAAGAGAUACAAGAAGAAUCUCUGGAGAAGAUGAAGUGUGAAGACAAAGGAGGGAAGAGAAAAGAAAAAGUACAGCAGGAGCCUCUGGAGAAGAUGAGGGGCAAAAGGCAAAGGAAGGAAGAAAAGAUACAGGCAGAGCCUCUGGAGAAGAUGAAGAGUGAAGCCAAAGUAGGAAAGAGAAAAGAAAAAGUACAGCAGGAGCCUCUGGAGAAGAUGAGGAGCAAAAGGCAAAGGAAGGAAGAAAAGAUACAGGCAGAGCCUCUGGAGAAGAGAAUUAAGAUUAUGAAAUAAAAGAAGGAAAAAUCCACAGAGUUCUCAAAGAAAUGGCGAGAGAAAGUCUCAGAAAAUAAGGUGCAUGAAAGAGUUGUUAAUUAAAAGUGAUCAUCUA